RNAcentral lists this ribosomal RNA (253 nucleotides) under uncultured bacterium. RNAcentral's name for it is "partial 16S ribosomal RNA". It matches the Rfam family "Bacterial small subunit ribosomal RNA", at positions 524 to 776 of the family's 1533-position model. The record is from RNAcentral.
UACGGAGGGAGCUAGCGUUGUUCGGAAUUACUGGGCGUAAAGCGCGCGUAGGCGGCUUUGUAAGUUAGAGGUGAAAGCCCGGGGCUCAACCCCGGAAUUGCCUUUAAGACUGCAUCGCUUGAAUCCGGGAGAGGUGAGUGGAAUUCCGAGUGUAGAGGUGAAAUUCGUAGAUAUUCGGAAGAACACCAGUGGCGAAGGCGGCUCACUGGCCCGAUACUGACGCUGAGGCACGAAAGCGUGGGGAGCAAACAGG